Molecule: ribosomal RNA, 442 nt
Filed under: Cutibacterium acnes
Lineage: Bacteria; Bacillati; Actinomycetota; Actinomycetes; Propionibacteriales; Propionibacteriaceae
Description: bacterial SSU rRNA
Rfam family: Bacterial small subunit ribosomal RNA
Source: RNAcentral
GCANUCGANGGAAAGGCCUCUUUCGGGGGGUACUCGAGUGGCGAACGGGUGAGUAACACGUGAGUAACCUGCCCUUGACUUUGGGAUAACUUCAGGAAACUGGGGCUAAUACCGGAUAGGAGCUCCUGCUGCAUGGUGGGGGUUGGAAAGUUUCGGCGGUUGGGGAUGGACUCGCGGCUUAUCAGCUUGUUGGUGGGGUAGUGGCUUACCAAGGCUUUGACGGGUAGCCGGCCUGAGAGGGUGACCGGCCACAUUGGGACUGAGAUACGGCCCAGACUCCUACGGGAGGCAGCAGUGGGGAAUAUUGCACAAUGGGUGGAAGCCUGAUGCAGCAACGCCGUGUGCGGGAUGACGGCCUUCGGGUUGUAAACCGCUUUCGCUCAUGACGAAGCUUUGUGUGACGGUAGUGGGUAAAGAAGCACCGGCUAACUACGUGCCAGCA